Molecule: ribosomal RNA, 253 nt
Filed under: uncultured bacterium
Lineage: Bacteria
Description: partial 16S ribosomal RNA
Rfam family: Bacterial small subunit ribosomal RNA
Source: RNAcentral
UACGGGGGGGGCAAGCGUUGUUCGGAAUUACUGGGCGUAAAGGGCGCGUAGGCGGCCCGCUAAGUCAGACGUGAAAUCCCUCGGCUCAACCUGGGAACUGCGUCUGAUACUGGACGGCUUGAGUUUGGGAGAGGGAUGCAGAAUUCCAGGUGUAGCGGUGAAAUGCGUAGAUAUCUGGAGGAAUACCGGUGGCGAAGGCGGCAUCCUGGACCAACACUGACGCUGAGGCGCGAAAGCUAGGGGAGCAAACGGG